ACGGGUGAGUAACGCGUAAAGAACUUACCUCACAGUUAGGGACAACAUUUAGAAAUGAAUGCUAAUACCUGAUAUUAUGAUUUUAAGGCAUCUUAUAAUUAUGAAAGCUAUAAUCACUGUGAGAGAGCUUUGCGUCCCAUUAGCUAGUUGGAGAGGUAACAGCACACCAAGGCGAUGAUGGGUAGCCGGCCUGAUAGGGUGAACGGCCGCCAGGGGACUGAUACACGGCCCUUACUCCUACGGGAGGCAGCAGUGGGGAAUAUUGGACAAUGGACCAAGAGUCUGAUCCAACAAUUCUGUGUGCACUAUGAAAUGUUUCGGAAUGUAAAGUGCUUUCAGUUGGGAAGAAAAAAAUGACGGUACCAACAUAAGAAGUGACGGCUAAAUACGUGCCAGCAGCCGCGGUAAUACGUAUGUCCCACGCGUUAUCCGGAUUUAUUGGGCGUAAAGCGCGUCUAGUUGGUUAUAUAAGUCUGAUGUGAAAAUGCAUGGCUCAACUCUGUAUUGCGUUGGAUACUGUGUAACUACAGUACUGGAGAGGUAAUCGGAUCUACGAGGGUAGAGGUGAAAUUCUGAGAUAUUUGUAGGAGUGCCGAUGGGGAAGCCAGCUUACUGGACAGAUACUGACUCUGAAGCGCGAAAGACGUGGGUAGCUAAACAGGAUUAGAUACCCU
This 674-nucleotide ribosomal RNA is filed under the name uncultured bacterium. RNAcentral describes it as "bacterial SSU rRNA". It matches the Rfam family "Bacterial small subunit ribosomal RNA", at positions 102 to 788 of the family's 1533-position model. The record is from RNAcentral.